CGCAGAUUAGGAGCUCCAGAAGAUGGGAAAUUCUGGAACCAUAACUAGUGGGAACUGUUUGUUACAAGGGCCCUCGAGGGCCCCUUUGUGUGACUAAAUUUGGCGAGCCCAGGGCUCCGCGCCAGGCUUUCCACGUGUGCUUCCCCAGCUCCCAGCUGAGAAGGCCAAGGGUCCUCUUCCGGUUUCAGUUCAGUACCUGUCACAGCCUCUGUUG
Molecule: long non-coding RNA, 214 nt
Organism: Lemur catta (Ring-tailed lemur)
Lineage: Eukaryota; Metazoa; Chordata; Mammalia; Primates; Lemuridae
Exons: 3
Source: RefSeq, a predicted model, not a curated record